AUGAACGCUGGCGGCGUGCCUAAUACAUGCAAGUCGAGCGAACAGACGAGGAGCUUGCUCCUCUGACGUUAGCGGCGGACGGGUGAGUAACACGUGGAUAACCUACCUAUAAGACUGGGAUAACUUCGGGAAACCGGAGCUAAUACCGGAUAAUAUAUUGAACCGCAUGGUUCAAUAGUGAAAGACGGUUUUGCUGUCACUAAUAGAUGGAUCCGCGCCGCAUUAGCUAGUUGGUAAGGUAACGGCUUACCAAGGCAACGAUGCGUAGCCGACCUGAGAGGGUGAUCGGCCACACUGGAACUGAGACACGGUCCAGACUCCUACGGGAGGCAGCAGUAGGGAAUCUUCCGCAAUGGGCGAAAGCUUGACGGAGCAACGCCGCGUGAGUGAUGAAGGUCUUCGGAUCGUAAAACUCUGUUAUUAGGGAAGAACAAAUGUGUAAGUAACUAUGCACGUCUUGACGGUACCUAAUCAGAAAGCCACGGCUAACUACGUG
RNAcentral lists this ribosomal RNA (496 nucleotides) under uncultured bacterium. Its description in RNAcentral is "partial 16S ribosomal RNA". It matches the Rfam family "Bacterial small subunit ribosomal RNA", at positions 29 to 507 of the family's 1533-position model. The record is from RNAcentral.